GCUGCUGAUAUGGCUAAUAUUGAAUCGUCGAGUGUUGCAAGAGAAGCUGCAAUACAUAGUGCAGCUAUUAGGUGUCCUCCAAUGGUGUCUCGCUUCCAGUUAUCAUAUGAUCUUGCAGUCUCGUUAUGUUCUAGGUAGGAGAUGUGGCAUUGUCCAUAUUGCACAGUAUGGUAGCCGCUCAUUCAGGUAUAGAUGAUGCUGGAGAGAUUGUUACACCAACCCCCAGAGUAAAGAGGAUCUUGUCAAGCUCACGUUGUCUUCCACAUAUUGCACAAGCAAUGCUUUCUGGUGAACCAACUAUUGUUGAUGCUGUUGCUCUUCUCU
Molecule: non-coding RNA, 324 nt
Organism: Sesamum indicum (sesame)
Lineage: Eukaryota; Viridiplantae; Streptophyta; Magnoliopsida; Lamiales; Pedaliaceae
Source: RefSeq, a predicted model, not a curated record